AAGAGCUCGUAGGUGGUUCGAUACGUCGGAUGUGAAAAUCAGGGGCUCAACCCCUGACCUGCAUCCGAUACGGUCGAGCUAGAGUUUGGUAGGGGAGACUGGAAUUCCUGGUGUAGCGGUGGAAUGCGCAGAUAUCAGGAGGAACACCGAUGGCGAAGGCAGGUCUCUGGGCCAAUACUGACACUGAGGAGCGAAAGCGUGGGGAGCGAACAGGAUUAGAUACCCUGGUAGUCCACGCCGUAAACGGUGGGCGCUAGUUGUGCGAACCUUCCACGGUUUGUGCGACGCAGCUAACGCAUUAAGCGCCCCGCCUGGGGAGUACGAUCGCAAGAUUAAAACUCAAAGGAAUUGACGGGGCCCCGCACAAGCAGCGGAGCAUGCGGCUUAAUUCGACGCAACGCGAAGAACCUUACCAAGGCUUGACAUAUACAGGAAUAUGGCAGAGAUGUCAUAGCCGCAAGGUCUGUAUACAGGUGGUGCAUGGUUGUCGUCAGCUCGUGUCGUGAGAUGUUGGGUUAAGUCCCGCAACGAGCGCAACCCUCGUUCUGUGUUGCCAGCAUUUAGUUGGGGACUCACAGGAGACUGCCGGGGUUAACUCGGAGGAAGGUGGGGAUGACGUCAAAUCAUCAUGCCCCUUAUGUCUUGGGCUGCACGCAUGCUACAAUGGCUGGUACAAACGGCUGCGAUACCGCAAGGUGGAGCGAAUCCGAGAAAGCCAGUCUCAGUUCGGAUUGGGGUCUGCAACUCGACCCCAUGAAGUCGGAGUUGCUAGUAAUCGUAGAUCAGCAACGCUACGGUGAAUACGUUCCCGGGGCUUGUACACACCGCCCGUCACAUCACGAAAGUCGGUAACACCCAAAGUCAGUGGCCCAACCGCAAGGAGGGAGCUGCCAAAGGUGGGAUCGGUGAUUGGGAUGAAGUCGUAACAAGGUA
Molecule: ribosomal RNA, 933 nt
Filed under: uncultured bacterium
Lineage: Bacteria
Description: bacterial SSU rRNA
Rfam family: Bacterial small subunit ribosomal RNA
Source: RNAcentral